AUUGAACGCUGGCGGCAGGCCUAACACAUGCAAGUCGAACGGUAACAGGAAGAAGCUUGCUUCUUUGCUGACGAGUGGCGGACGGGUGAGUAAUGUCUGGGAAACUGCCUGAUGGAGGGGGAUAACUACUGGAAACGGUAGCUAAUACCGCAUAACGUCGCAAGACCAAAGAGGGGGACCUUCGGGCCUCUUGCCAUCGGAUGUGCCCAGAUGGGAUUAGCUAGUAGGUGGGGUUACGGCUCACCUAGGCGACGAUCCCUAGCUGGUCUGAGAGGAUGACCAGCCACACUGGAACUGAGACACGGUCCAGACUCCUACGGGAGGCAGCAGUGGGGAAUAUUGCACAAUGGGCGCAAGCCUGAUGCAGCCAUGCCGCGUGUAUGAAGAAGGCCUUCGGGUUGUAAAGUACUUUCAGCGGGGAGGAAGGGAGUAAAGUUAAUACCUUUGCUCAUUGACGUUACCCGCAGAAGAAGCACCGGCUAACUCCGUG
RNAcentral lists this ribosomal RNA (490 nucleotides) under uncultured bacterium. RNAcentral describes it as "partial 16S ribosomal RNA". It matches the Rfam family "Bacterial small subunit ribosomal RNA", at positions 30 to 507 of the family's 1533-position model. The record is from RNAcentral.